Molecule: non-coding RNA, 93 nt
Organism: Mycena leptocephala
Lineage: Eukaryota; Fungi; Basidiomycota; Agaricomycetes; Agaricales; Mycenaceae
Source: the annotation of a GenBank genome assembly
GACUCGGUGGCGGAUGGUCCGUGUCCACAACUCUUAUGGUAGAGAAGAAGUCGUUGCCUGUGGAAGUCGCCUGUUCGACUCAGGCCCGAGUCA